RNAcentral lists this ribosomal RNA (241 nucleotides) under uncultured Gardnerella sp. RNAcentral's name for it is "partial 16S ribosomal RNA". It matches the Rfam family "Bacterial small subunit ribosomal RNA", at positions 114 to 354 of the family's 1533-position model. Lineage: Bacteria; Bacillati; Actinomycetota; Actinomycetes; Bifidobacteriales; Bifidobacteriaceae. The record is from RNAcentral.
UGCGUGACCAACCUGCCCAUGCUCCAGAAUAGCUCUUGGAAACGGGUGGUAAUGCUGGAUGCUCCAACUUGACGCAUGUCUUGUUGGGAAAGUGUUUAGUGGCAUGGGAUGGGGUCGCGUCCUAUCAGCUUGUAGGCGGGGUAAUGGCCCACCUAGGCUUCGACGGGUAGCCGGCCUGAGAGGGCGGACGGCCACAUUGGGACUGAGAUACGGCCCAGACUCCCACGGGAGGCAGCAGGUA